Molecule: long non-coding RNA, 119 nt
Organism: Hibiscus syriacus
Lineage: Eukaryota; Viridiplantae; Streptophyta; Magnoliopsida; Malvales; Malvaceae
Exons: 3
Source: RefSeq, a predicted model, not a curated record
AUCUCUUUCCCUCCAUCUUGGCAUCUUGAACGUGAUUUCAUAAGCAAAACGAAGAUAUCAUACAUGUUGAGCUUCCUUGAAAAUGAGGAUGAAUGAAUUGGAUGGAUGAUGAAUUAACG